RNAcentral lists this transfer RNA (76 nucleotides) under bacterium. RNAcentral's name for it is "tRNA-Asn". It matches the Rfam family "tRNA". Rfam says of the family: Transfer RNA (tRNA) molecules are approximately 80 nucleotides in length. Their secondary structure includes four short double-helical elements and three loops (D, anti-codon, and T loops). Further hydrogen bonds mediate the characteristic L-shaped molecular structure. tRNAs have two regions of fundamental functional importance: the anti-codon, which is responsible for specific mRNA codon recognition, and the 3' end, to which the tRNAs corresponding amino acid is attached (by aminoacyl-tRNA synthetases). tRNAs cope with the degeneracy of the genetic code in two manners: having more than one tRNA (with a specific anti-codon) for a particular amino acid; and 'wobble' base-pairing, i.e. permitting non-standard base-pairing at the 3rd anti-codon position. The record is from RNAcentral. RNAcentral also lists the same sequence under 3 other names.
UCCGGGGUAGCUCAACCGGCAGAGCAAGCGGCUGUUAACCGCUAGGUUGUGAGUUCGAGUCUCACCCCCGGAGCCA